Molecule: ribosomal RNA, 403 nt
Filed under: uncultured bacterium
Lineage: Bacteria
Description: bacterial SSU rRNA
Rfam family: Bacterial small subunit ribosomal RNA
Source: RNAcentral
GGGGGAUAUUGCACAAUGGAGGAAACUCUGAUGCAGCAACGCCGCGUGAGGGAAGAAGGUCUUCGGAUUGUAAACCUUUGUCCUUGGUGACGAAACAAAUGACGGUACCAGAGGAGGAAGCCACGGCUAACUACGUGCCAGCAGCCGCGGUAAUACGUAGGUGGCAAGCGUUGUCCGGAUUUACUGGGUGUAAAGGGUGCGUAGGCGGCUCUGCAAGUCAGGCGUGAAAACUAUGGGCUUAACCCAUAGACUGCGUUUGAAACUGUGGGGCUUGAGUGAAGUAGAGGUAGGCGGAAUUCCCGGUGUAGCGGUGAAAUGCGUAGAGAUCGGGAGGAACACCAGUGGCGAAGGCGGCCUACUGGGCUUUAACUGACGCUGAAGCACGAAAGCAUGGGUAGCAAAC